This 197-nucleotide unclassified non-coding RNA is filed under the name plant metagenome. Its description in RNAcentral is "partial contains small subunit ribosomal RNA, internal transcribed spacer 1, and 5.8S ribosomal RNA". The record is from RNAcentral.
UUUCCGUAGAUGAACCUGCGGAAGGAUCAUUAACAAAUCUAACAAUAGUUUUGCUCACAGUGAAAGUCGCUCCCUUCUUGUAAGGGUGUGAUGGAAGCCGUGAUGCAAUACAAUUCACACAUACAGUGAUUGACACAUCAUGAUUACCAAGAAACUCUAAUUGUAAACAACUUUUAACAAUGGAUCUCUUGGCUCUU